UCUCUCCUCUCUCUCCCGCACACUCUUCUUUCCUUCUUUUUCUUCUUCUCUCUUCCACCUGACUUCAUCUUCUCCCUCUCUUCCCCUUCGUUCCCACACAGCAGCUCACAUCUUCUCUUUCCCCUUCCCUUUCUUCUUCCUCUCGUCUCACUUGCACUCAUGCACACAUAGCUGGACUUGAGGAAGAGUCCGUUGACCCGUGGAGACUGGAGAGAACCCGAGGGGUUCUGAUGAGUCCAUGAAGAAAAUCGGACCACCGGAGGUCUGAUUUCCGGUGGUCGUCGUUUGUGAAGCCGGUAGAGACCCGUGUGAGAGGCGGGUCGACUGAGAAAAAUAAAGAGGACCCGAUCCUCCAACGAUUUUCAGUGGGUCAUCCCAGAAGGCUUUUCCAGCGAAAUCAGGGGCUGAUUCCGGCGGUUUGGAGGUGCGAAAUCUAGUGACACUUCCUAUGAUCCUUGAGCUCGGUCUUAGUAGAUGAUGUUCCUUUGGCUGUAGGUACUCCGGUCAUAGUUGAUGGUGUUGUAGAUGUGCACUUGAGAUAUUAUGACCGAAGCUCGCCGCGACGGUAGUAAUUGCGGGACCAUGGGCGUCCUCUGCUUCAUGGGUUUGUUUAUGGCUUGUGACGUUUGUGUCACUGGUUGUUGUAUAAGUCAUUUAUGUUAUGUAUUUAAUUUGAGGAAAGACUUAAACAAAUAGAUGUAAUAUUAGCUCUUGAAUAUGAUUAAUUUAUGAUAGAGUUUUAAGA
This is a long non-coding RNA of Alnus glutinosa, 745 nucleotides long. RefSeq lists it as uncharacterized. The transcript is spliced from 2 exons. The record is from RefSeq and is a predicted model, not a curated record. NCBI's taxonomy places the organism in Eukaryota, Viridiplantae, Streptophyta, Magnoliopsida, Fagales, Betulaceae.